CUUUCUCCUAGAGGUAUUGCAGGAAUAGCAUUUGGGUCACCUUUGUGACUGUAGGUGGCAGAGAAGAGAAAGGCUAUGUCUGUGUUAAGUGUCUGACCUGUGAUCAUCUGAUUAGUAGCCUAACAUU
Small nucleolar RNA from Arvicanthis niloticus (Nile rat), 127 nucleotides. RefSeq annotates it as small nucleolar RNA SNORA17. The record is from RefSeq and is a predicted model, not a curated record. NCBI's taxonomy places the organism in Eukaryota, Metazoa, Chordata, Mammalia, Rodentia, Muridae.